AGAGUUUGAUCCUGGCUCAGGACGAACGCUGGCGGCGUGCUUAACACAUGCAAGUCGAACGGUAAGGCCCUUCGGGGUACACGAGUGGCGAACGGGUGAGUAACACGUGGGUAAUCUGCCCUGCACAUCGGGAUAAGCCUGGGAAACUGGGUCUAAUACCGAAUAGGACCACAGGACACAUGUCCUGUGGUGGAAAGCUUUUGCGGUGUGGGAUGGGCCCGCGGCCUAUCAGCUUGUUGGUGGGGUGAUGGCCUACCAAGGCGACGACGGGUAGCCGGCCUGAGAGGGUGUCCGGCCACACUGGGACUGAGAUACGGCCCAGACUCCUACGGGAGGCAGCAGUGGGGAAUAUUGCACAAUGGGCGAAAGCCUGAUGCAGCGACGCCGCGUGGGGGAUGACGGCCUUCGGGUUGUAAACCUCUUUCACCAUCGACGAAGGUCCGGGUUUUCUCGGGCUGACGGUAGGUGGAGAAGAAGCACCGGCCAACUACGUGCCUGCAGCCGCGGUAAUACGUAGGGUGCGAGCGUUGUCCGGAAUUACUGGGCGUAAAGAGCUCGUAGGUGGUUUGUCGCGUUGUUCGUGAAAUCUCACGGCUUAACUGUGAGCGUGCGGGCGAUACGGGCAGACUUGAGUACUGCAGGGGAGACUGGAAUUCCUGGUGUAGCGGUGAAAUGCGUAGA
RNAcentral lists this ribosomal RNA (681 nucleotides) under uncultured bacterium. RNAcentral's name for it is "bacterial SSU rRNA". It matches the Rfam family "Bacterial small subunit ribosomal RNA", at positions 8 to 694 of the family's 1533-position model. The record is from RNAcentral.